RNAcentral lists this ribosomal RNA (490 nucleotides) under uncultured bacterium. RNAcentral's name for it is "partial 16S ribosomal RNA". It matches the Rfam family "Bacterial small subunit ribosomal RNA", at positions 29 to 505 of the family's 1533-position model. The record is from RNAcentral.
AGUGAACGCUGGCGGUAGGCCUAACACAUGCCAGUCGAACGGCAGCACAGUAAGAGCUUGCUCUUACGGGUGGCGAGUGGCGGACGGGUGAGGAAUACAUCGGAAUCUACUUUUUCGUGGGGGAUAACGUAGGGAAACUUACGCUAAUACCGCAUACGACCUACGGGUGAAAGCAGGGGAUCUUCGGACCUUACGCGAUUGAAUGAGCCGAUGUCGGAUUAGCUAGUUGGCGGGGUAAAGGCCCACCAAGGCGACGAUCCGUAGCUGGUCUGAGAGGAUGAUCAGCCACACUGGAACUGAGACACGGGCCAGACUCCUACGGGAGGCAGCAGUGGGGAAUAUUGGACAAUGGGCGCAAGCCUGAUCCAGCCAUACCGCGUGGGUGAAGAAGGCCUUCGGGUUGUAAAGCCCUUUUGUUGGGAAAGAAAAGCAGCAGGUUAAUACCCCGCUGUUCUGACGGUACCCAAAGAAUAAGCACCGGCUAACUUCG